GGAUAGUUGGGGGCAUUCGUAUUCCGUCGUCAGAGGUGAAAUUCUUGGAUUGCCGGAAGACGAACUAUUGCGAAAGCAUUUGCCAAGGAUGUUUUCAUUGAUCAAGAACGAAGGAAGGGGGAUCGAAAACGAUCAGAUACCGUUGUAGUCUCUUCUGUAAACUAUGCCAAUUGGGGAUUAGCUCAGGAUUUUUAAUGACUGAGUUAGCACCCGAAGAGAAAUCUUUAAAUGAGGUUCGGGGGGGAGUAUGGUCGCAAGGCUGAAACUUAAAGGAAUUGACGGAAGGGCACCACCAGGUGUGGAGCCUGCGGCUUAAUUUGACUCAACACGGGGAAACUCACCAGGUCCAGACACAAUAAGGAUUGACAGAUUGAUAGCUCUUUCUUGAUCUUGUGGUUGGUGGUGCAUGGCCGUUCUUAGUUGGUGGAGUGAUUUGUCUGGUUAAUUCCGAUAACGAACGAGACCUUAACCUGCUAAAUAGACCAGCCGGCUUUGGCUGGCUGCUGUCUUCUUAGAGGGACUAUCAGCGUUUAGCUGAUGGAAGUUUGAGGCAAUAACAGGUCUGUGAUGCCCUUAGAUGUUCUGGGCCGCACGCGCGCUACACUGACAGAGCCAGCGAGUCUACCACCUUGGCCGGAAGGCCUGGGUAAUCUUGUGAAACUCUGUCGUGAUGGGGAUAGAACAUUGCAAUUAUUGUUCUUCAACGAGGAAUACCUAGUAAGCGUGAGUCAUCAGCUCGCGUUGAUUACGUCCCUGCCCUUUGUACACACCGCCCGUCGCUACUAC
Molecule: ribosomal RNA, 786 nt
Filed under: uncultured eukaryote
Lineage: Eukaryota
Description: SSU rRNA
Rfam family: Eukaryotic small subunit ribosomal RNA
Source: RNAcentral